GCAAGUAUAGUUUAAUCAAAACAUUAGCCUGUGAUCCUAAAAAUAGAAGUUAAAUUCUUCUUACCUGCCAAGGGGAGGU
This 79-nucleotide transfer RNA is filed under the name Microchera cupreiceps. RNAcentral's name for it is "tRNA-His". The stretch from base 1 to 69 matches the Rfam family "tRNA". Rfam says of the family: Transfer RNA (tRNA) molecules are approximately 80 nucleotides in length. Lineage: Eukaryota; Metazoa; Chordata; Aves; Apodiformes; Trochilidae. The record is from RNAcentral.